This is a long non-coding RNA of Acipenser ruthenus (sterlet), 403 nucleotides long. RefSeq lists it as uncharacterized. Lineage: Eukaryota; Metazoa; Chordata; Actinopteri; Acipenseriformes; Acipenseridae. The record is from RefSeq and is a predicted model, not a curated record. The transcript has 3 exons.
GUUGUGCUGUCUUCUGCAAGCCUGGAUGAAGGAGAAGAAUUGGCAUGACUGUGUGUAACCAGGGGGACAUAGCUCUAAUGGGUCAACUUUCACUAGCUGAAAACAUGUCCAUACAGUAUAUGCUUGCGUGGUGUGGUGAUGUCUGACCGGGAAGACCAGACAAAGUACUGGUGUUGAAUUUGCUGACAAGCGUCAGAGUCAAUUUUGGGACUUCGCCCCUGCGCCAUGUCUGCAGCACUGGCAUUUUCAGUUUUGGUCUCCCUAUUUUGACCUGGCCACAAGCUCCACUUCAUAUUACACAUAAAAAAUGCUUUUCAGUCAACGUAAUAAUGGCAUGCGCUGGCUGCAGACCUGAUCGGCAGUAACUCCUGCAAGCAAAACAUAAAAAAACACAUUAAAUAUU